Molecule: ribosomal RNA, 297 nt
Filed under: uncultured Pseudomonadota bacterium
Lineage: Bacteria; Pseudomonadati; Pseudomonadota
Description: uncultured proteobacterium partial 16S ribosomal RNA
Rfam family: Bacterial small subunit ribosomal RNA
Source: RNAcentral
AACGAACGCUGGCGGCAGGCUUAACACAUGCAAGUCGAACGGGCAUAGCAAUAUGUCAGUGGCAGACGGGUGAGUAACGCGUGGGAAUCUACCCUUUUCUACGGAAUAACGCAUGGAAACGUGUGCUAAUACCGUAUAAGCCCUUACGGGGAAAGAUUUAUCGGGAAAGGAUGAGCCCGCGUUGGAUUAGCUAGUUGGUGGGGUAAAGGCCUACCAAGGCGACGAUCCAUAGCUGGUCUGAGAGGAUGAUCAGCCACAUUGGGACUGAGACACGGCCCAAACUCCUACGGGAGGCUG